CUCCGUUUGUACUUCGUCCAUAGUUUCUUUUGCUGCGACAACAUAAAUACUCACAUUCAGGUUUCCAUAAUAACAGUACAAUAAGUAGAUAAAAAGUUAUCUCAAACAAAUUUUUAACUAGCAAUUAAUCAAGGAGAGAGAGAAAUAGCUUCAAUAGUUCAGAAAGACCAAUUAUUGAAAUUAUUCAAAAAUUACACUAAUUUGGAAUCGAAUUUUGACAGUAUUGUAAUUUUUUUGAAUCUAGAUAUCACCAUUUCACACAUGACUAAAUAGUCAUGUUUAUGUAUAAUCUCUUUGAAAUCAUCACUUCAAGACCUAAACACCUCAGUCAAAAGCUUCAAGGGCAUUAAAUUUACAAAUAUCUUUUCAAAAUUCCCUAACCCGAACAAAGAAACAUACAAAAAUGGGGAGCGAGAUGGAGAAAAACGAAUUAACUCGGAUGGAGCGUUGAAGUCCAUCUUCAGAUGUGGACAGAGAUGGUGAAUGAUGAAAUAAUGGUUCAGCGACCGUCUUUGCAAGCACCUGUCUUCGCAAUGACCAAAAUCUUGGCAAGAGUGCCACCAAGCAGCUUGAUUUUCAUUGGGAUUUCAAGUUUUCAGUUUGGGAAAAUUUGUUUCCCUUUUGUUUCCAUGG
RNAcentral lists this long non-coding RNA (633 nucleotides) under Olea europaea (common olive). RNAcentral's name for it is "long non-coding RNA (OEUR_LNC009910)". The record is from RNAcentral. Lineage: Eukaryota; Viridiplantae; Streptophyta; Magnoliopsida; Lamiales; Oleaceae.